This 72-nucleotide transfer RNA is filed under the name Pteropus alecto (black flying fox). It matches the Rfam family "tRNA". From Rfam's summary of the family: Transfer RNA (tRNA) molecules are approximately 80 nucleotides in length. Their secondary structure includes four short double-helical elements and three loops (D, anti-codon, and T loops). Lineage: Eukaryota; Metazoa; Chordata; Mammalia; Chiroptera; Pteropodidae. The record is from Rfam by way of RNAcentral.
GGUUCCCUAGUGUAGCGGUUAGCACGUCUGCUUUACACGCAGAAGGUCCUGGGUUCACGCCUACUGGAGCCA